AUAAACAUACUGCAUAGAAUUCCAGAUAAAACCUUCUAUUCAGAUUAACAGGCUAUAACAUGCCAUUUCUUCUAAGAAUAAUGAAUCAAUAGAGCACCACAUCCUCACCAAUUAACAAAAAGAUGUUCAGGGAAGGGAAAAAAAGACGGUAAAAAAAAAUGAAGGCAAAGUCACUUACCGUUUCUUGUGUCGCUUUGUCUUGAAAUGCUCGUCCCUCACCGACUCAUUAGCAAAGUAACGGCUGUAAACAAGAUUAAGAACAAUCAACAUAUCAAAACCAUACCCAUAUCAUUUUUUAAACAAAGCACCAUAAAAGAAGUCCCAACCCUCACUUCUGUUACUAAAAGCCAAUUAACAAUAACCUAAGUUGCAGCAUUGACAAUUUAAGCCUGGUAACAGUUAACCAUAAAGUUCUGCAUACUACAAUUACUUUUCCUUCAAUUUCUCAUCAACCCAAAGAAGUAUAUACAAACAAACAUAACUAAAAUAAAAAUGAAAACAUACUCGCAGUGUAAGCAAUAAUAUUGGCCCAUUCCAGGCAAAUCCUCGUCAAAAGGCAAGGGAUUCUUUGCGGAAUCUGACCUUUGAAGCUCAUCAUAAACGGCAUCGUCGCGUAAACACAAAUUCUCAGUCAAGAAAACAGAAACACAAUAGAAAAUAUUCCACUAAAUAAAAUACAAAAAAUUAAAUUCGAUAAUUUAGUAAAUAAAAAAGGAUAUCUUUGCGUAGGAAUUUUGCCAGGCGAGCAGUCUUGUGAGAGUAUCUUCUCUUCUUCACUUUCCGGUUUGGGCACUUACCCAUUUCUUGGGAGUGAUAGUCAGUUGUUGAGAAAGUCAAAAUUAGGGUUUUUAGGUUCUGUUGAUAAACCCUAGUGGAUUGAUCCGAGUGACCUAAAGGAGAGAGGAUCCCGAACCGUUUGUGGAUUUCUUAUUUACUCAUAAGAUGGAGGAAAAAGCGGCGUCGUUUUGUAUGGGAAAACCACUGCGUCCUUGAAGUUUCAUCCAAAAAAAUAGUCAUUCAGGCUGGCAAUCUGUCGGGUCAGGCUCAGGCUCGAACUCGAUAACACAAACAAAAUGGUUUGAAUUCGACAAAAAGUUCGAUUUUUCUCCUUCAAGCCGGGCUUGGCCCGACUCUAAUUGGGUCAGG
Molecule: long non-coding RNA, 1146 nt
Filed under: Citrus maxima (pomelo)
Lineage: Eukaryota; Viridiplantae; Streptophyta; Magnoliopsida; Sapindales; Rutaceae
Description: long non-coding RNA (CMAX_LNC001501)
Source: RNAcentral